GUGGCCGUAGCUCAAUGGCAGAGCUGUGGGCUGUGAUCCCGCGGGUGCCGGUUCGACUCCGGCCGGCCACCCCC
This 74-nucleotide transfer RNA is filed under the name Burkholderiaceae bacterium. Its description in RNAcentral is "tRNA-His". It matches the Rfam family "tRNA". Rfam says of the family: Transfer RNA (tRNA) molecules are approximately 80 nucleotides in length. Their secondary structure includes four short double-helical elements and three loops (D, anti-codon, and T loops). The record is from RNAcentral. Lineage: Bacteria; Pseudomonadati; Pseudomonadota; Betaproteobacteria; Burkholderiales; Burkholderiaceae.